This 578-nucleotide non-coding RNA is filed under the name Pan troglodytes (chimpanzee). Lineage: Eukaryota; Metazoa; Chordata; Mammalia; Primates; Hominidae. The record is from RNAcentral.
AUCUGGGUGUGGUGGCAUGUGCCUGUAAUCCCAGCUACUUAGGAGGCUGAGGCAGGAGAACUGCUUGAACCCGGGUGGCGGAGAUUGCAGUAAACCGAGAUUGCACCACUGCACUCCAACCUGUGCAACAGAGUGAGACUUCUCAAAAAAAAAAAGAUCAUUUGGAACCUUGUUUUAAGGAUACGGGGCUAUUUAGGCUUUCUAUUUCUGUUUUUUUUUUUUUUAAUAGGGUCUUCUCUGUCACCCAGGCUGGAGUGCAGUGCUGCAGUCGUGGCUCACUGUAGCGUCAAUCUCCUGAGCUCAGGAAAACUAGACAAUCCACCAGCCCAGGAGGGGACAAGCAGGAUUAAUCCUCCUCCUCGUCAUCUCUGGCUCCAGCCCCACCCUGGCCCUUGCUGGCAUUCUUCCUCUUCACGUGGCUGGGUUUGGCCACCCCAAUAGGGAAGCAGAGGGAGAAGUCGAUGUGCUUCUGGGAAUCCAGGCGGAUAGUGAAGAACAGGAUAUUUACCACCUGCUCACGGACACGGAUAUGACACUGUUGGAUCAGCACAUGAGCGUGGCAGAUGGACUUAGCCAAG